GCCAGGUAUGGUGGCACAUGCCUGUAAUCCCAGCAGCUUGGGAGGCAGAGGCAGGAGGAUAGUGAUUUCAAAGCCAACCUCAGCAAUAGUGAAGUGCUAAGCAACUCUGUGAGACCCUGUCUUUA
Molecule: small RNA, 125 nt
Filed under: Marmota monax (woodchuck)
Lineage: Eukaryota; Metazoa; Chordata; Mammalia; Rodentia; Sciuridae
Source: RNAcentral